GCCAGCUAGGAAAGGCCAGACGGGCCAGGGCGCACUGGGCGGGAGGCGGGGCACCGUCAGGGCGGUGCCCCGCCUCCCGCCCAGCCUGACGGCGCCCCCCCGGGCCUGCGCCCGAGGCGGCGGCGUCAGGGGCCUCAAUAGUGGGGCCGGCCCUGCCAACAAAAUGUCCCUUCAAAUUUUCUCAAAUGACCACAUUAUCUUCCCAGUGGCACCAAGAUUGGGUGGUUUCCCUACAUUUAUACAAUUUUCCCUAGUGGCAGAUAAUUUAGUCCACUCUGCGGGGGUUUUCUGACACACACACAAAUCCUUUAAAAUCCAUAUUCUGCAAUUCGCUUCUGGUGUGAGAGAAUCAGGCAUCUACAAAGAUAUUGCCCAGGGUACGCCUGGAUGUGUCACAAUCUCGUGGGGAGGAAUGGAUUGUGUAGAGCCAAUCUUCAGAAAUGGGGCUACAAAGUGGAGUCCACGACAUGUGAGUGUGAGGAAGAGCAAACCACAGACAACUUACUUCAAUGCGGUCUGAGCACUGCCACGUGCACAACGGAGGAUCUUCUCACAGUGACUCCAAGUGGCCAGAUUCUGGUCAAAGGACAUUUAGUAUAAUGCCAAGUUUUAACUUUGUUUGUGUUUCUAAAUACAUUACAAUUAUAUUUUAUAUAUCCUGAUACGAUGAAUAAAUAGAUAAAUAAAUAAAUCCACAUGCUCCUCACUCUGCCUAAUCUUAGGACUAUUCCUACCCACCCUCUACACACAGCUUCAUAGAAAAGUGAAUAUUAAGAAAGGAUUUGAAAUAGAAACCAGUCACACGCCUUUCUUAGCAACAUCACUUCAUUCAUACUAUUAAGUGUUCCUUGCCAAAGCAAUACCAAAGAUAAAUGUCUGCACAUUUUAAAUAAUGCAGUCAUGCUGUCAGUCUGUUUUCUCUUAUACACUAUCUUGUACAUUAUCUAAUUUGAUGACAGCUAUUCAUAUAGCAGAGGAUUUCUCAGGUGAUAUCAGCAUAUGGCAGAAGAUAACAUUGUCAUAAAAAAGAGACUCGGCAUAAAUCUUGCCAGCUGCAGGAGAAUGUCUGCAGUUUUAUAUUGUAUGCCUAUAAAACUGCAAGCAUUCCUCCUGCAGCUGGCAAGAUUUAUGCUGAGUCUCUUUUUAUUAGGAUUUUAUUAGGAUAUCUUUUCCACCCCUGUUAAUACAAGUUUAUCUAAACAUUUGUUCUCAUUUUCCCCCAUCUGUACUGGAAUACAUUUUCCAUCAUCUCUUGUGAUUAUGUCAGCCAGCUUGUUAUCGUGCCUUUAUAGCUUUAUAGCCUGAUAAGAGUUGCAGUCCUACAGCAUGUAGAGUGCCACAUUUUUUCUAUUCUUAUUAUAGUGAUACACUCAGAGCUUGGAAGGGAGGCCUAUAGGUAGCAUGCUUUUUCCUUUUUUUUCCUUUUUUUUACCUUAAGCAGUUACUUUGGGGUCAGUGCAUGAAAAUCAAAUAUUUAUGUGGUUUUUUAAAAUCACAACGUCUGCUAGAUUGUUGGUGUGGGAUUAUGCAACUAAUAAUUUCUGGUAUUCAGUAUUUCAGUUAUAUGGAUUUAUAACUUAGAAUUACUGAUUCAUAAGAGAUAUGUGUGACGGCGCGAGUGGCGCCAUCUAUAUGUUGAACUAUAAGUUGCAAGAUUUGAAUUGUAUCAUGCCUGAUUUUGCCCUUACCCUGUAAAUGUAGUUGGAUUGGUUAUUUAUAUCUGUCAAUCAAUGUUGUUUGUACCUGUUAUAUUGCUCACUCAGCAAAACUGUUUGGCUCCACCUCUUCCUGGAGUAGGACUGUGUUUCCUCCUUUUCAUUCCACCAGCAAGCUCUCUAUCGGAUGGACAUGAGAGAGAGACUUGGCACUAAAAGCCCUUCAAAAGUUACCUCUCAGCACCAAUUCUGAGUUUCAAGCGCCUUCACAUCAGUCCUUUGGCAACAGAGGAAGACUCUUGUCUUCAGAUAUAGGUCAUUGGACUGAGGCUGAGUUUGCUCCGGCAUUCACAGCCAGAGAAAGAGGGAUCUAGAAGGCUCCACGGACUUAAACAAUCAAAGACUGUAAUGUAUAUUUUCUUUUACCCCCUUUGUGAACAAUAAACCCAGUUUUUGAGUUAUC
Molecule: long non-coding RNA, 2118 nt
Organism: Anolis carolinensis (green anole)
Lineage: Eukaryota; Metazoa; Chordata; Lepidosauria; Squamata; Anolidae
Exons: 2
Source: RefSeq, a predicted model, not a curated record